UACGGGGGGGGUAAGCGUUGUUCGGAAUUACUGGGCGUGAAGGGCUCGUAGGCGGCCAACUAAGUCACACGUGAAAUCCCCAGGCUUAACCUGGGAACUGCGUGUGAUACUGGAUGGCUUGAAUCCGGGAGAGGGAUGCGGAAUUCCAGGUGUAGCGGUGAAAUGCGUAGAUAUCUGGAGGAACACCGGUGGCGAAGGCGGCAUCCUGGACCGGUAUUGACACUGAAAAGCGAAAGCCAGGGGAGCAAACGGG
This 253-nucleotide ribosomal RNA is filed under the name uncultured bacterium. RNAcentral describes it as "partial 16S ribosomal RNA". It matches the Rfam family "Bacterial small subunit ribosomal RNA", at positions 524 to 776 of the family's 1533-position model. The record is from RNAcentral.